AUACGUAGGUGGCAAGCGUUAUCCGGAUUUACUGGGUGUAAAGGGCGCGUAGGCGGGGGUGCAAGUCAGAUGUGAAAUCUAUGGGCUUGACUCAUAAACUGCAUUUGAAACUGUAUCUCUUGAGUGCUGGAGAGGUAGACGGAAUUCCUUGUGUAGCGGUGAAAUGCGUAGAUAUAAGGAAGAACACCAGUGGCGAAGGCGGUCUACUGGACAGUAACUGACGCUGAGGCGCGAAAGCGUGGGGAGCAAACAGGAUUAGAUACCCUGGUAGUCCACGCUGUAAACGAUGAAUACUAGGUGUGGGGGGACUGACCCCCUCCGUGCCGCAGUUAACACAAUAAGUAUUCCACCUGGGGAGUACGGCUGCAAGGUUGAAACUCAAAGGAAUUGACGGGG
RNAcentral lists this ribosomal RNA (396 nucleotides) under uncultured bacterium. Its description in RNAcentral is "partial 16S ribosomal RNA". It matches the Rfam family "Bacterial small subunit ribosomal RNA", at positions 523 to 918 of the family's 1533-position model. The record is from RNAcentral.